UGCCAGCAGCCGCGGUAAUACGGAGGGUGCAAGCGUUAAUCGGAAUUACUGGGCGUAAAGCGCGCGUAGGUGGUUUGGUCAGUUGGAUGUGAAAGCCCCGGGCUUAACCUGGGAACUGCAUUCAAUACUGCCAGACUAGAGUACGAGAGAGGGGGGUAGAAUUUCUAGUGUAGCGGUGAAAUGCGUAGAUAUUAGAAGGAACACCAGUGGCGAAGGCGGCUCACUGGCUCGAUACUGACGCUGAGGUACGAAAGUGUGGGGAGCAAACAGGAUUAGAUA
RNAcentral lists this ribosomal RNA (279 nucleotides) under uncultured bacterium. Its description in RNAcentral is "partial 16S ribosomal RNA". It matches the Rfam family "Bacterial small subunit ribosomal RNA", at positions 506 to 784 of the family's 1533-position model. The record is from RNAcentral.